GACGAACGCUGGCGGCGUGCUUAACACAUGCAAGUCGAACGGAAAGGCCCUGCUUUUGUGGGGUGCUCGAGUGGCGAACGGGUGAGUAACACGUGAGUAACCUGCCCUUGACUUUGGGAUAACUUCAGGAAACUGGGGCUAAUACCGGAUAGGAGCUCCUGCUGCAUGGUGGGGGUUGGAAAGUUUCGGCGGUUGGGGAUGGACUCGCGGCUUAUCAGCUUGUUGGUGAGGUAGUGGCUUACCAAGGCUUUGACGGGUAGCCGGCCUGAGAGGGUGACCGGCCACAAUGGGACUGAGGUACGGACCAGACUGCUACGGGAGGCAGCAGUGGAGAAUAUUGCACAAUGGGCGGAAGCCUGUGGCGGAAACGCCGGGUGCGGGAUGACGGCCUUUGGGUUGUAAACCGCUUUCGCCUGUGACGAAGCGUGAGUGACGGUAAUGAGUAAAGAAGCACCGGCUAACUACGUG
This 468-nucleotide ribosomal RNA is filed under the name uncultured bacterium. RNAcentral's name for it is "partial 16S ribosomal RNA". It matches the Rfam family "Bacterial small subunit ribosomal RNA", at positions 28 to 507 of the family's 1533-position model. The record is from RNAcentral.